CAAAGGAUGUAGUCAAUCUGAUUUCGGGGUUGACCACCUGGUGAAGUCCAUGUUUAAAGCCGUCUUUCAGGUUGUUGGAAGAGAGUGCUUGUUAUGCACAUUGAGUAUUCCCGGCAAAAUUCUAUCGGCCUACGUCCUGCUUCAUUUUGUUGUCCCAGACCAUGCUUGCCUGUGAUCCCAGUUAUCAUUUGACUGCCCACCUUAGCAUUCCAAUCUCCUGUAAUGAGAAUAAUGUCUCUUUUUGGUGUGUUAUCCACUAAGUGCUGAAGAUCCUCGUAGAACUUAUCUAAUUCUGCUUCUUCAGCAGCUGUGGUUGGGGCGUAUGUUUGGAUCACUGUGAUGUUAAAUGGCUUGCCUUUAACUCGAAUUGAGAUCAUUCUAUCAUUUUUUGCGUUGUAUCCAAUCACUGCUUUCGCAAUUUUAUUAUUAACUAUGAAGGCUACUCCAUUUCUUCGGUGUUCCUCUUGUCCGCAGUAGUAGAUCUAGUGGUCAUCUUUUGUGAAGUGGCCCAUUCCAGUCCAUUUCAGUUCACUGACUCCCAGAAUGUCUAUCUUUAAUCUUGACAUCUCACCAAUAACCACAUCCAGUUUGCCCUGGCUCAUAGAUCUUACAUUCCAGGUUCCUAUAGUGUGUUGAUUUCUAGAACAUCGGAUUUGUCCUUCACCUCCAGCACCGUCGGCCGUUAGUCUUCCUUUCGGCUUUGAGCUAACUGCGUCAUCACAUCUGGGGCUACAUGGACUAGUCCUCUGCUCCUCCCCAGUAGCAUUUUGACCAUCUUUCGACCUGGGGGUCCUAUCUUCCGAUGGUAUACCGACAUUUCUCUGGUUGUACUGAUCCAUAUAGUUUUCAUGGCAAGAAUACUGGGGUGGAUUGCCAUUACCUUCCCCAGGGAUCGUGCUUGGUCUGACCUCUCUGCCAUGACCUUCCCAUCUUGGGUGGCCCUGCACAAUAUAGCUCAUGGCUUCAUUGAGGCACUCAAGCUCCAGCACCACGUCAAGGUAACGAUCCAAGCUGGAAAUGGUGAACUUAGAUGUGUUUUAAUGAAUGAAGCUGCCCGUUUUUAGUGGUGGUAUUAGAGUCCCUGGCGGUGAGGUGCCAAACCAAACUUACUCCUUGCCCUAGCCACUCCAGUUUUUAUUUAUAUCAGCAUUGGGCUUCAAACAUGGAUUGUGCAUCCCACGUGGGCCAUUCUUUUGUUGGACAGUCAGCAAUUCAGCAGUAUAGUUUCCAUAAUGAGUCUGUUUAUGCUUCCCAGUAUAAAUUUAUACUUCGCAGGGCAGUGGUAGCAACAGUAAGAUACACCCAAAGAUGGGGAAAAGAAUUUAAGAGAAUUGGAUGUGUUCCUAUGACACAAGUCAGAGAUCUUAGGAAGCCAGGGGGCUUAUCAUAAACUGUUAGUAAGAGAUCCUUGCUGCAGGAGGAGCUGAACAAUCCAUUGGGCUCUGCCCCAGUGUUGAUUUAUUCUGUCAUUGUUCUUACUCUGGUUUCUUCCCUCAUAACAAAAUGAAGACAGAAUGCAGGGUUUGUUCUUGGCUUUGUUCUCUGGUUUGUUAGGGCUAAUUGAAAUAAUAACGCCUCCUUUCUGUGGUUUCUACUGAGGCUGGGAAUUUGGAUCAUUUUGGUAUACCUGCUUAGAAAUGAAGACUUGAUGGUUCUCUUGUGCUCUUAAGGAGGUGCUUUUAUCUUCCAACUUUAUUUUGAGAUCCAUUAUCUUAGAAAUUACAAAUUAAUAAGCUUAUUUUAGUCACAAACUUAACGCUUUCAUUCAUAUUGACGGUAGUUAUAGGAAAGGAAUCCUGACCUAGCUUAGUUUGUUUUCUUGACUGUGACGAAGUAUAGUGGGUCCAUUGGGCUUAUGAUCUGUUGAUUCUGCCCACUACUCUUGCCAUGUCUCUGUGGAAGCUGCUUGCUUUGGUAGAUAGUGGUACCAUUCCUGCUUGCAUGCAAGAGCACUUCCAAUUGCAGGGUGGUGAGCAAUAUCUGCAGUGAUAUUGUGACCGGUGGUGGUGGUGGUGGCACUCCUGCAUGGUCAUUCGUGGAAGCUGCUUGAGGGGAGAAGGGGGUGGUUAAUGGGCUCUUGCCUCUGCUGUUGUUCUACACGAUUGAGCAUUUGCAUUUUUGCAGAGGGUCCUUGAAUCAACUCCAUGCAAGUACUGAGGGGUCAACUUUUUGCUUAAACUGGUGCUAACAGUGCGAUCUCAUGCAUGUCUUCUCAAUAGCAAAUCUGCUGAGUUCACUGGGAGUUAUUCCCAAGUAAGCAGGCAUAGGAUUGCAGUUUCUGCACUAGCGCUCGGGUGGCACAGUGGGUCCAAGGGUUGACGGAGGCUACAUCUCAUAGCUGUGACAGUAGCUCCAAAAUGGCACAGUAUCACUUGGCUGCCUAGGAGUUGGAGGAGAGGAGUGUACCGCUACCACCAAGAUUUGAGGAGAAGCCAGAAUACCAUUGUUGUUGUUGUUAUUGUUAUUAUUAUAAUUUAUUGAUUUACUUUAUUUAUAACCAGCCUUUCUCCCUGAGGGGAUUCAAGGCGGCUAUAGAGGUGUGAGGCCUCGCUGGUUAAGGACAGCAGCAGUGGCUGCAGUAGUAGCAGGUGAGAAGGGAGGCGGUCUGGGCAAAGGGAGGGGAACAUUGGCCCUUUGCUUACUCACAAGUAAACGACCCAUCCCUAUUUCCCAGAACGAAAGGCAUAAUGGAGGCAGGGAUUGUGGUAAAGGAAGUCCAUGGGAGUGACACACAGAUGGGUUGGGGGAUUCUGGAGUUUGCAUCCAUGUCAGUCAUUGCAUCACCUGGUGAUUUCAAUGCCUCUAGGUUUUCGUAAAGUUCAGAAGUGGCACCGCAGCAGAGAGAGUGCUCACAUUGACUUAUGGAUAAGUUGACCCAGGUUAUUUGACUAUGGUCAAAUCUUUUUUGACUUAGCCAUGAGUAUAUGUGAUAAUACUUGAUGACAACUGGGCUUUCUGAUCCAAAGUUUUUAGAAUUUACUAGAAAUCAUAUAACUCCUAUGUGUAUGACUCUGUAUGUUACCAUUUGGAUGGGAAACAGCCCAUGAAUACUGUUUGACUAUAUUCCAGGCCUGCAUAACUAUAUUCCAGGCCUCCAACUUCUUGAAGCCCUAGACAGCUUGUCCAAUGGCCAGGAAAUAUGUAAGCUGAAGUCCAAAACCCCCCAGGGGGCCACAGGUUGUGCAGGCCUGCUAUAUUUCAAUGGAAGGAACUGGCGAAACCACCCUUGAGUAUUCUUUGCCUAAGAAAACCCUAUAGAAUUGACAGGCGACUUUAAGAACAGACAUGCACAUGUAAAAACAUAUUUAUACCAAAGUGCUGUUGCAUAGAUAAUAGUAUUCUUGUGUUAUAAACUCUUUAGACUCAGUAAGAAAUCAAGAAUAAAGACAUGUUUAGUUGAACAAAGUCUCCACCUAAACAAGACUUGUAAAUCAAACAAAAUAAUUAUUUCCAAAGUCACUGAGUGCUUCCAUUUAAACUAUAUUUAUACAUAAUAUUGAAAAAAAUCUAGUUAACUUUAAAAUAUGUAAGUUCUUGCCAUUUAGGGUUCUGUGAAGCUGAUCAUCAAGAGGGUUGCAAAUCAUUGACUGUUUCUAUUUUCAGAAUUCCACAUCCCUGAGUAAUUUGCUUUAAUUUCACCCAAUCUAACCUAUACUUCACACCAUCACCAUUCAGCUGUAAUAGCUAUGUUCUGUGCAUAAGAAAAGCAUAUAAAUGUCCACAAUUACACUGCAAAUGAUUACAACUAGUUAGUGUUUUAUGAAGCACUGUAGAACCAAAGUUACAAAGUAUUGGAAAAAUUAUUUCUUCCGAAAGUGUUUUGUCACAGAAUUUUGCUUUUCAGUUGCACCUUUAAUUUGCUUAGAUUUAAGUUGCUGGCGGGUGUACUUAUAGGUUUUCAAAAGCCCUCUUUCGUAUAAAACAUUUAACUUCUGUGUGAAGACUGCACAGUUAGAAUUCUCAUUUCCCCCACAUUUUUGGCACAGAAUCAAAGCUAGUCCUCUAUUUUGGCUCCACAGUAUUCUCUGUCAUGGUCUUUUAUUAUUGGUGGUCUCUGUACAAUCUCAGGAGUAGGUUCUGUUGCUGUGUAUAACAAUGUUGGGAUAGUCUGGUGUUACACUUGAGACGGAAGGAAACUUAAAAGGAAGUGGGGCAAGUGCUAAUUUGAAAUAUUUUGCUGAUACAUCCCCAGUUCCUAAUAGAGCUAAAGAUCAUAUUGCAGUAUCCUAUUUUAGUUUGUAAUGAGUUUGGAUGAUUUAUUUGGCUUAUUAUAAAGAGGAGUCAAAAUGAGACUUGCUGGAUAUGUUAUUGGGCAGUGUUUACAACAUUCUGGCUUUACUGAAACAACAAGAGGCAUCUACGCUGUAGAAUAAAUGCAGUCUUUAACACCACUUUAACAGCUCUAUGCUUUGAAAUCCUAGGGUUUGUAGUUUGGUGAUGCACCUGCACUCUUUGGCAGAGAAGGCUAAAGACCUUGUAAUAUGACAACUUCCAUGAUUCCAUAGCACUGAGCCAUGGCAGUUAAAGUGAUGUUAAACUGCAUUCAUUUUACAGUGUACAUUCAUUUUAUGACUAACAUUGUACUGGUGUUACAGUGCUAUCACAGCAGAACUUUUUUCUUUAUUCCCUGCAUCUCUGCAUACUACUUCUAAUUAGAUCCCAAGGGCAUAAAAGAGGCUGCUUUGCCAUUGUGUAUUGUCCCAAAUCCCCCAAAUUAUGGUGGUGGAGGAGCUUAAACUGAAGGAUCUUCCCCUCCCCCUCUCACUGUCCCGCAACCCUGUACACAGCAUAGCUAGUGGAGCCACAUGUGGACCUACUCUAGGCUAAGAUAUAUACUACUUGUUUACUGAACAAUAUCUACAGAGACAUUCCCUGUUUUGUAGGGAGAGGAAAGGAUUGCAGAAGUGUUUGGGGACAUUUCUAUAACCAGAUGUGAAGUGAGUACAACAGCUCCGAGAUCUCAGGCAAACAGCACAGAUCUCAGCAGUGAUGUCAUCAUUUUAUAUCUGUCCACAGCAGUGGUUCCCAACCAGUGGUCCGUGGAACACCAGUGGUCCCCAAGAACUAAAAUAUGGUCUGCGCCUCACCGUUGCUGCAACGAGAGUAACUGGUCUCACGAAACCUAAUAGUGUCGGGGCAACAGGAUGUCUGGAGGGGAGAGGCUGACUACCCACAAAAGGUGCGACAACAAGCCUCCUGACUGCUCCUUCUCGUCCUCCCUCCCCCUGAGUGGAGCCGUUCUAUGUGGGGCCUGGAAGCCUUGGUGCCUUCAUUUUUAGACCUGUUCCUGUGGUUAUUUGGGGUGCUGAUUCAGAAAAUUGCAAUGGAUAGAUCACUUCAGCUCUAGGUUAUUAAAUAUGGUUUUCUGUGGGUGAGCAGAUGGCGACUACUGGAUGGCAUAUGUUCUGUAUCAGAAACUAGAGCUGAUGUGGUCUAUCCAAUGCAGUUUUCUGAAUCAGCAUACCAAAUAGCCAAACUGAAUCUAAAGUUGACCAAAAACUGAUUCGUAACCCUUUUGGUACUCAAAGUUGGAGGGUUGUCCCUUGUCAAAGUGGUGCCCAGUCAAAGUAGUCCCUGGGCAAAAAAAGGUUGGGAACUACUGGUCUAGAGAAGGGUGUUUUAGUGACCUUGUCCCCUCCCCAUGGAGCAGGAAAUAACAACAUCCACAAAAUCUCCCCAAAAUUACAUACACAUCUAAGGAAAAUAUAUGUGUUUGUCCCUAAAAGGAUGCCAGUUAAGGAAGCAGACUUUAUUGACUUUAUCAAUAACUACUGAUAAUUGCAAUACUGGAAAAUAAUUGGAGCAAUGAAGAGGUUGAAAAAAAUACACAAAGGGUAACCCAAAAAACAACUUCAAAUUUAAACUGCUUGAGAAAAAUACCAAACUUAAAUUGAAUGAAAUUGAGCCAAAAACUGACUUGUAAGUUUCCAAAUGUUCAAACCUAGUGAAAUAUAGAAAUUUAGAAACUUACACCCAUAUGUACAGGUAGUCCCUGAGUUACAUUUUAAAGUGUAACUCUAGCCAUGUUUUUAAAGUUUUGGAUAGCAUAGGGACUCUUGUGGUGUUUGUUUUGCAUCUGUGCUCCUGUUCAAAAGAUUUCACUUCGCUUUCUGUCCCUGUAUCAACUGGAUUUUGAAAAUUUUGGUUUGUUGUGGAAACAAGGAUUGGUGAUAAAGCUUCAGUGGAGACACCUUUUCACCAUGAUCACUCUUUAAGGAGUGAAUUUCCCUUCCUAAGGGUAGAUUUCCUCUCAUUUCCUGUUGUCUCAAUGAGUCAUGUGUAGGUUGGAUGUCUAUAAUUCAAGGACUGCCUGUAUUUAUAUAAAAUUGUACUUAGCAAGAUCCUUUAGUUAGAGUGCUCCAGUGAAGAAUCAGCAGCGAGGUAGGAUGAAAAGAGAAAUAGACUUCCAUAGGAGGCCUUUUCAAAGUUCCUGUUGAGACCUUUGUUAUGGUGAGGGACAAGCCUUCCCUUCCCUGUCGGGAUGAGGCCAUCAUUCACAAAAGUGUGGUGUCCACCUGCAAGAGGACCUCCAUGCUUUGGGUUGAGCAUGUAACACUCUGUGCAUAUUCUCUCGCAAGCUCCUUUGAAGCUCCUGAAUAUGUCAUCCCGUCAUCGUCAUCCUGUUCUUUCCUGGUGUAACUUCUCUGUACUUUUGAACAUUGGCACUGUGAUUGUUUUAAGAUUUCUGUUGGGUUUAUUUAUUUAUUUAUUUAUUUAUUACAGUACUUGUAUUUCCCCCCCCCCCCUUCUCACCCAAUAGGGGACUCAGGGCGGCUUACAAUAAAAACAUAUAUAAAAAUAAUACAGAACAUUCGAUCAAUUAAAAUUAAAUAAAAUAAACAUUCAUAAAAAUAUACAUAUAAAUAUACAAUUGGCACAUUUUGAGUCUAAAAAAAUGGGUCUGUCAUUGAGUUCUAAAGCAUGUAGUAGUAAUUGAUACUGCUAUUAUUGUUCGAAGGCCUGGUCCCACAACCAGGUUUUAACUUUUCUAUGGAAAGAUAGGAGGGAAGGAGCCUGCCUGACAUCAUUUGGCAGGGCGUUCCAUAGGCGGGGAGCCACUACUGAAAAGGCCCUGUCUCUCGUCCCCACCAGCCGCACCUGUGAGGCUGGCAGGAUUGCCAGCAGGGCCUCACCUAAAGAUCUUACAUUUCGAGGUGGGUCGUAGCGGGAGACACGUUUGGACAGUGAAGCUAACACCAGCACCUUGAAUUGUGCUCAGUAGCUAAUUGGCAGCCAGUGGAGCUGACGUAACAGAGGAGUAGUACGCUCCCUGUAUGCCGCUCCGGUUAUUAACCUGGCUGCCUCCCAUUGCACUAAUUGAAGCUUCCGAACAGUCUUCAAAGGCAGCCCCACGUAGAGCGCAUUGCAGAAGUCUAAUCGGGAUGUAACAAGAGCAUGGACCACCGUGGCCAAGUCCGGCUUCCCAAGGUACAGGUUAUUUGCAUUAUGCUUGUACCACGGUUAUACUUCAAAAAACCAUUGAAUAUCAAGGGAGCAAAAAAAGGAGCCCCGGUGGCGAAGUGUGUUAGAGCACUGAGCUGCUGAACUUGCAGACCAAAAGGUCCCAGGUUCAAACGCCGGGAGCGGCAUGGGCGGCCGCUGUUAGCUCCAGCUUCUGCCAACCUAGCAGUUCGAAAACAUGCCAAUGUGAGUAGAUCAAUGGGUACCGCUCCGGCGGGAAGGUAACGACGCUCCAUGCAGUCAUACUGGCCACAUGACCUUGGAGGUGUCUAUAGACAACGCCGGCUCUUCGGCUUAGAAAUGCACAUGAGCACCAACCCCCAGAGUCAGACAUGACUGGACUUAAUGUCAGGGGAAACCUUUACCUUUAUCAAGGGAGAAUUUGGUUUUCAGUCCUCUUGUCAGUUCGGGCAACUGGCAGGCUCUCUUCCCAUUAUAUGUAGUUAUAAAUUGGUUCUUCAAUUGGUUUCUUAUCUGGAGAGGCCAGCUUUAAACCAAAACAGUUGUUGCCAUUUUUAUCUAUAGUUCAGGUUUGCAGACUUCAUGUAUAUUAAGCCAGCAUUUUAAAAAAUAAUUAAAAAAUCACAUGUUCAUGUUGCGAUUUCAGUUUUGGGACUCAAUCCCACAGUAGGUCUUUCUGCAUUUUCUCACUACAUUAUUUAUUUGGGGUAUUAUUUGGGAGUAUUGUCAAAACCAUCCAUUAAACUUAUUUCAAGAUCAGAUUGGUAGUUUGAAGCUUUUUAAAACAGUCCAGUUUUUAACUAAUUAAUGUAAAACCUACAGUUUAAUUCAACAGCAAUUACUCUCCCAAAAUGCAUCAUAAGAAAGAUUUAAACAUGACUGCAGUUUAUGUGCGAUUGUAUUUUGGAAGCCCAUUUCCUUUUAUUUAUUUAUGCGACUUUUUAUUGGAAGAAUCAAUGCAACUCUGUUUUUGCCUUUUUUGCUUAAAAGGCACUUGUUGAACAUUGCCACAGAAUAUACAUCAAGCAUCAUUUUAUUGCAGAUAAAUUUUAGUAUUUCAAUUAAUGAAUGUUCAACUAUAAUAUGCAUUAAAAUAAUUUGUUUCUAAUGGAAAUAAAAAAGGAAAAUGUUCUAAUUAAUAUGCAUGGAGUAUGGAUAUGUGGAAGAGCAUAUCUGUUUGUUGAAUCAUAACAAUAAUUUAUUCAAUGUAUGGUAAAAGACAAAUAUCCAAAGUGGAUUGCUACAGAUAUUCUCUUUUUCUGCAGUAUUUUCCUGCAGUAUACAAAAUGUAGGCAGCUUCGUAUUUAAGUCAAACUAGUUUCCUGUGCUGUAUCAUAAAACUUUCAGCCCAAUCAGCAACUGCAUUUAAAUACCGCAAAUUGUAGCAGCAAAACAAUAAUUCUGCUGAUUAGCCCCUUUCCAUUUCUUGUAAGUGAACUGUUUAUGCUGUUGAGUACCUUUUGAAAAAAGAAAAAGCCAAAACAGCCUUGAUUAGUCAAGGAGUAAUUGGAUGACUUGAUUUUAGCAAGAGAAUGAAUUGGUUGAUGAUAGCCUGUAACUAAGUGUAGUGGUUCUGUUCAGAGGAAUACAUAACAUAGAUUCAUCAGAUCUUGACAGGUAUAAUAUAAGCACUGACAAAAUCUGUGAAUGUUUUGAAAUAAUUGUCAUAUGGACAGUAUAAGAAAUGGCAGAAGAGUGUGCUGGAGUGUGUAUGGAGGCAACUUCUAAUAUCAAGUAUGGAUGUUAACAUAUGGAAAUAAACAUAUACAUGAAAACCUGAGGAAUCUAUGCUUUCUGUACAUUAUUGCAGGAAUAUAAAACAUGGGCCUUCAUGGGAAAAAGUAUACUUGGUGAAAAGUGGUUCUUAAGGCUGGGAAAAGGCCCUCAAAUGAGACCUAUUGAGAGAGCAAGUUAAAAACCUGGAAAUAGAAAAGAAAUAUUGCUGCUAAAUUUUGAUGAUAUUUUAAAGCUUCCUUCCUUAGGCAAACCCAAGAUUUAGGGAAUGAGAGUAGACUGAAUACAUAGUGAGAUUUUUCUCUAUGAUAUACUGAAAACCAAAACCCUAAGGCAAUUAAUGUGGCACUAGAAAUGGUGUGAGGUCAUAUGUGGAAAAUGUGUCUUCCUUACAAUUAUUCAAUAAUGCAGAUUCACUAUAUAUUUUUAGCAGGGGGAAUGAAUUGCAAGAAUAGUGUUAAGAUAAACACUUGUGCAAAGUUGAAAUUUCUGUAGUUGGAACAAAUUAGAGUUGAACUUAGAGAUCCCAGCCAUUUCCUUACAUGGUACUUCUAAGUUAUGCUUGGCACAUGGUUAUUUAAAGAUAUCUGUACGAUGGUUUUUCAUAUGGGAGAUAGAUUCUUUGAGGUUUACAAUAGGGCCUCUGUUGUCUUAGAGCUGUGGAGUAAAGCAACAACAACACCUGUGUGUCUUCUAUCCCACUGGCCUAACGGAUUCUCAGUGCAGCUUCGUCAUUCUUGAAUGUAGACUUGUUGAUGUAAAACCUCUUGGAAGAAACAGAAGCACCAUCUAGAAUGAAUUCCGUGCUAAUCUUGGUUGGUCCUACCAUCAAGCAGAAUGAGAUGGUACACCAAGAAGAAGAUUGCAGUAUCACUAAAAAGCAGCAAAGUGUUAGUUGCGUUGAUUUUUUAAAUCAUCAAGGAAAUACUAUUGGGACCUGCAACAAUGUAGGCCUUCAGACAUCUUGUCUAAUUGGGAUGUUCAUUGAAUAUCUGUAACCGACAUAUUCUUUUUUUUUUACUCAUUGCCAUCUGGCAAACGGUACAGGGUGACAAAGACAAGGAUAAACAGACUGAGAUAUAACUUUUAUCCUAGAACUGUGGCUAUGUUGAACUUUCGCACUGAUGUGGCAUUGGGGGCUGUAUAGUGGUGGUUGGGGUGUGGAGGUGGAUGGGUUUGUUGUUUUGUGGUGUGUUCUGGGGAAGGCAUUUAAUUUCGUUGUGCAAUAGCACAAUUACAAUAAAGCUAUUCUAUUCUAUUCUGUAAAAGCACUAUAUAUGGGACACCUAUAAGAGCCCUAUUCUUUUCUUCUUCACAUUUUGUAAUUUACUUUCCCACUCUUCGCCCAACAUAGACCUUUGAAAGAAAUGUUCUGUCUUGAUGUUACCUAUAAGAUGAGAGUGGUAAUCUUGUACCUUAUAUGACAGUUUUACUCGCACUACACACUCAGUGGAAUUCCUUUCUGUUUCUAGUUACUUACUUCCACAGAGCUAUCUCCCUCUGGGUCUCUCAGUGGGAUAAUGCCUCAUUAUUAGGAGAACUCAAGUCAAUAACUGGUGGUAAUGAACUGCUUAUCAUACGAUCAUUUGUGAACAAACUGUAGACCAGGUCAGUGAAGAUACUGUGAUUAUGUGACUGCUUAAGGUGAAAUAACUUCAUAUCUUGGGGAGAGCUUAGCUGUGUUCCUUCUGAGGCUGUUGAGAUUGCGGACAUAACGUUUUGUCAGGAAGUCUGUGGAAGAUGAAAUCCAGAGCCUGUUCUUUUUAUGUUUUGGAGAUAUAAUUUUGUCUCUGUGCAUGUUCCUUUAAGUCACCUGUCCAUUUAUGGCAACUCUGAAUUUCAUAAGGUUUUUCUGAGAAUUAAGACCUUUAGUGUGCAAAGGCGUAUAUAGCCAGGAGCUCAUGUCUUCCCUGGAUUAGAGCAUCUACGUCAGAUGUGAAACUUCCAGGUCUACAUUUUAUAUGCUUGAAUCACAACUGUCGUAUUGAGGAAGGAGCUUGUCUGUCAGUCCUUGGAAGCUAUAGGACACAAUGCAUGCUCACACAGGUAGUUCCGUGGAAACACUUUAUUGAAAUCCUUCUUGCCAAGAUGAACACAAAGCUAGUACUAACCCAUUCCCGCCAAGACCCCAGCAUAUCAAACUAAUACUUCCCUCCAGCCCCCCUUCCACAUUCACACCUUUCUGUCGAUAGUCUUUUCCCAAGCUUGAAAACCAGAGCAGGCCAUAAAUCAAUCCUCCUAGCCAGAUGGCUUUUAUCAUUUAGGCUAUGUCCACCCCCAUAGCUCUAGCAGGAUGGGUACAGUUCAGCUGGUGUGAGUGCUGGGCAUUCACAUCCUGACAUUGUCUUCUGCAGCUCAAGAGAAUAGAACACGGAGCAGUGGAGUCAAGCUACAGGAAAAGAGAUUCCACAUAAACAUUAGGAAGAACUUCCUGGUGGUAUAAGCUAUCUUACAAUGUAAUACACUGCUUUCAGGUGUGAUGAGUUCUCUUUUGGAGGUUUUUAAACAGAAGCUGGAUAGCCUUCUGUCAGAAGUGCUUUGAUUGUGUAUUUCUGCAUGGCAGGGGAUUCGACUGGAUGGCCUCUGGGGUUUCUUCCAAGUUUUUAAUUCUAACCAUUUUAGAUAAAUAAGCAUGGGGAAUUAUGUUCAACAUAGAUCCUCAUCACUUCUUUGUUGUGUGAGACUCAAACCACUGGAGUGAUUCUGUAGAACUCUUACACAUCCUCAAGGAUGUUCUAUGUUUCCUACCUUUGGAUAGUUAGCUAGAUAACUGGGGUGCUGUUAGUAGAAAAAUAUCACCACUCAAUAGGCUUGUGUACGUGAUUUUCCAGGUGAGCUCCUCAGAAUGGAUACCCCACCAUUCUGACCUAUUGUACUUAAACAAACAGGAUGAAGCUGUUUAAUGAAGAUUUAAAAAACUAACAUUAAUGUCACAAUCAGCAAAUUUUUAUCAGCAAAAAAUGUGUGCAAAUCCGAGUAGGGUGCCCUGUGCAGCUGACAGAUGGUAAUUUUGUCAGUGCCGAUUGUGUUUAAGUGCAGGCCAAGGUCUUUAGGCACUGCACGCAGUGUGUCGAUCACCACUGGGACCACCUUUACUGGGUUAUGCCAGAGUCUGUUGGGUUAUCUAGCAAUCAUGCAUGCAUUUUCAAUGUGGGAUGGUUUAUGUUGUUAGUUUUGUUUGUUGCUUAGUAAUCUGAAGCCAAAGCUGCAUUCCAGAGUUAAUGGCACCAUUUUAGGGGUUUUGCAUGUGAUGUGGGAAAUUGGAGUAUACUUCCUGGAGGCAUACAGGAAGUUACAUAUGCCUUUAGAAUUUGGGACAUAAAAGGGGUGACUUUCUUUUGUUCUCUCUCUCUUCACCUCUUCCUGCUCUUCUUGCUCUUCCUCUUUUUGGCUCUUCAUCCAGCCAUGCCAUGCUGAUGUUAUUUCUUGUUAAGAGAUAUGUAAUAUCCUGAACUGUAUUCUUUUGGAACUAAGAUGUUUUUACCUGUAUAACCAUCAUCAUACAAGAUUGGUCUACACUUGGGAUCUGUUGUCGACUUUUCUAUUCUGGCUUUGAUUGUUCUUGGGCUACAAGAAUCAGGACCUCGGUCUCCUUUUUCAAAGUUCCAUUUGUGAGCCACUUCCAUGUUUUUUCCUUGUCAGAUUUGCUCUCAAUUUUUCCCAGGAACUGUCCAUGGAGAGCCUUCUUUUGCCAGUUUUCUCUUCUGCUCUGCAUUGUGUUUUUACGGUAUUCACUUUUAACGGUAUUUUGCACUUUAAGCAGUUUUCUACUUUUGACUUCCAUCAAUGUUGGUUCUUGACUGUCUUUCACAUAAUCUGCCAGUGCAUGUUUCUCUUCCUCUACUGUUUGUUUCACUUGCAGAAGCCCUCUGCGUCCUGAUCUUCUGUGUCCAGUUCACAAUUCCAGCAGUGUAUCUGAUGAUGGGCAUUGCCCAGGUGUUGAUAGCCUUGAUUGUAUUUCUGCCAUUUAAUUUGCUCUUCAAAAUUUUCUGACCCUUUGGACAUAUUUUUUGCUGACCACAUUUUUUACAUUCUCAUUCUUGAUAUUGUCCAGAUAUUUAUAGGCUUCAUUUAUUAUUAUUAUUAUUAUUAUUAUUAUUAUUAUUAUUAUUAUUAUUAUUGGUUGAAAGGUGACAAACGUGUUGCCUCAGAUAAAUAAAUAAAUGCACCACAGUAUUUAUCUACAGAAGGCAUGGCCAACGUUGGCAGGCCAUAGGUUUUCCAUCUCUAAAGCACAGGUGGAAGGUCAUAAAAAUAUUCAAGAUUGGAAUUUAUCAAGAUUUCAAGAAAAAAAGUUAGUGGUCAAUGGGAAGGAUAGUGAAGAGUAAAAAUUUGUUAGAAAUAAUCUGCAUAAAAUUAAAUAAUAAUACAUUUUAUUUGUUAUAAAUGAACAGGUGAAAGAGAAAAAGAGAGAAUGUCUGUAUUGAAGUAGUUCAAGUGGGAGAUAAGCCUUUUCAAGAAAUAGUCUAGGUUAUAAUCAAGAAAGAGAAAAUAUUUAAAAAAUGGGUUUCAUUCUGCUAGGAGUAGAACUUGAACAUCCUCAGGUGGCUUGCCCUAAGCUCACACAGUGCGACUUAUGGCUUUGUGAAGACCAGAACCUAGAUCUCCUUCUUCUCAGUCCAUUACUCUUAACAACUUACAUACUGGAAGGUUAGGUUACUAGUAAUAUCAUAAUGACCUUUUUGACAACAACAAAUAUUAAUCCUGAUACCAGUCAUAUGUUUUAAAAAUAUUAUUAUAGGGUGCUUAAAUUUUUAUUUCAUGUAUUGUGCUAUUAAUAAACAUGUUUAAUUUU
This is a long non-coding RNA of Anolis carolinensis (green anole), 13951 nucleotides long. RefSeq lists it as uncharacterized. The record is from RefSeq and is a predicted model, not a curated record. NCBI's taxonomy places the organism in Eukaryota, Metazoa, Chordata, Lepidosauria, Squamata, Anolidae. The transcript has 2 exons.